RNAcentral lists this ribosomal RNA (266 nucleotides) under uncultured bacterium. RNAcentral describes it as "partial 16S ribosomal RNA". It matches the Rfam family "Bacterial small subunit ribosomal RNA", at positions 524 to 787 of the family's 1533-position model. The record is from RNAcentral.
UACGGGGGGGGCAAGCGUUGUUCGGAAUUACUGGGCGUAAAGGGCGUGUAGGCGGCCAACUAAGUCCGACGUGAAAUCCCCAGGCUUAACCUGGGAACUGCGUCGGAUACUGGAUGGCUUGAAUCCGGGAGAGGGAUGCGGAAUUCCAGGUGUAGCGGUGAAAUGCGCAGGAUAUCGGGAGGAACACCGAUGGCGGAAGGCAGCUCGCGUGGGACGGUACUGACGCUGAGGCGCGAAAGCGUGGGGAGCGAACGGAUUAGACUACC